AUUGAACGCUGGCGGCAGGCCUAACACAUGCAAGUCGAGCGGAUGAAGGGAGCUUGCUCCUGGAUUCAGCGGCGGACGGGUGAGUAAUGCCUAGGAAUCUGCCUGGUAGUGGGGGAUAACGUCCGGAAACGGGCGCUAAUACCGCAUACGUCCUGAGGGAGAAAGUGGGGGAUCUUCGGACCUCACGCUAUCAGAUGAGCCUAGGUCGGAUUAGCUAGUUGGUGGGGUAAAGGCCUACCAAGGCGACGAUCCGUAACUGGUCUGAGAGGAUGAUCAGUCACCACUGAACUAGUGCAACGGCCCGAAUCCUACGGGGGGGAGCAGUGGGGAAUAUUGGACCAUGGGGGGAAGGCUGAUCCAGCCAUGCCGCGUGUGUGAAGAAGGUCUUCGGAUUGUAAAGCACUUUAAGUUGGGAGGAAGGGCAGUAAGUUAAUACCUUGCUGUUUUGACGUUACCAACAGAAUAAGCACCGGCUAACUUCGUG
This 484-nucleotide ribosomal RNA is filed under the name uncultured bacterium. RNAcentral describes it as "partial 16S ribosomal RNA". It matches the Rfam family "Bacterial small subunit ribosomal RNA", at positions 30 to 507 of the family's 1533-position model. The record is from RNAcentral.